This 384-nucleotide ribosomal RNA is filed under the name Triticum aestivum (bread wheat). RNAcentral describes it as "partial small subunit ribosomal RNA". The record is from RNAcentral. Lineage: Eukaryota; Viridiplantae; Streptophyta; Magnoliopsida; Poales; Poaceae.
AUGGGAGAGUACCCAUAUAAUGAUGAUCCACCAAAACAUCAUCGGCGUUUCCAAUACGAAUGGCUCGAGUUUUCACCUUACACAAAGCGUGCAUAUUGCUGCCAUUGUUUCCUCUUCUCAAGAAAGCCAAUUGGGAAGUGCGGGUCAGAAACAUUUAAUGUCUUGGGCUUUGAUAGGUGGAAGAAGGUGAAUAAUGGGAAAGAGUGUGCUUUUUAAACUCAUAUGGGUAAAGAUGCUGGUUCAACCCAUAAGUUCUCGGUUUGUUGUUAUGAGAAUUUUAAAAACAUCAUGACUCAUAUCGAUAAGGUGUUUGUGAAAGCAUAUGCAAAAACGACUGUAGAUGCAAGGUGAAGGCUCAAAGUUACAAUUGAUUCCAUUCGGUAA